This is a non-coding RNA of Peromyscus maniculatus bairdii (prairie deer mouse), 7487 nucleotides long. NCBI's taxonomy places the organism in Eukaryota, Metazoa, Chordata, Mammalia, Rodentia, Cricetidae. The record is from RefSeq and is a predicted model, not a curated record.
UCCGGGUACGGGGAGAGCGUGACCGCAGAGCCGUCUCCACCUCCAAAACCCCAAAACCCCAAAGCAGCGCAGCCCGACACCCGCGCGCGGCGGCCUGGGGCGCCACGGGUCCCGGCCCCCAGGUCACCGCGUCUGGGCUCUGCGAGUGCUGAAGGGCCCGGGCGCCUGACAUGGCCGACGGCUGCGAGCACCAAAGCGCCCCGUGAGCCAGGCUCGAAGUCACGUCCGCCCCGCGUGGGCCGCACCCCGAGGCGGGCGCCCUCGGCACCCCGCGUGGGCCGCACCCAGUACAGGGCAGGCACCUCCAUUUUGUUGCUCCUGAAAUGGCGGCCGCGUAUGGAGCAAGCAAUAAAACGAAAAUGAAAGCGGCCAGCAAACCCAUUUAACACGUAAAAGAGCAGUACCCACGGUAACACUCUCAGGAAAACGCAAAAGGUGUUCUAAAAUCCUUCUGAAAAAACCUUAGCGGCUGAAAAACCUUAAGGGCUCCCGUUUUUUAUGAGCUAUUAUUUAUUUUCAUAGUCUAUGGUUUUCAUCUUGCGACCUAAAAACUUAUCUGCACUUCCUGGAACGUCUUAAAUAUUUCCCCGUAUUAGCAAGGACUUAAAACACAUAAGAAAAAUCUAGAAACUUGGAAGUCAGGCUCUGUUUUUAACUUUCCGGAGGGACUAUUUUUUCUCCCUUCACCAAGGUGGUGGAAGGUUACGCGGUUCCGGUUGUGUGAGUUGUCCUUGCCCUAUAAAUACGGGUCCUCCCGGGCCUGCGUCAGGCAUUCAGGCAGCAAGAGCGCAGGGGCUGCUGAGGCAGGAGACGCAGCUUGAGGAAAUCGCAGAUAAGUUUCUACCUAAAAAGAUUGAGAUUAAAAAAAAUUAGAAUUCUAAACUUAAAUUGUUAAAUAGAGCAGCUUGUGGAGAUGUCGCUUAGCGUUAAAUUCUUAAAGUAACUUCUAUUGUAAAAAGCUUUUUAACGGAAAAUAUGAAGCCUUAUUUAAGGAGUUUAAAACAGGAAAAGAGAAGAAAAAUAUUUGUAAGGUAUGAUGGAGGCUGAGAUGAAGGUUUUAUGGAGUAGUUUAAAAGAUUGUAAAGGGAGGGAGUACAGAGCCUUUAAAAAGCAUUUAAUAUGGAGGUCAGCCUUGUAGACUAAAACGAAGGUUGCUUAAAAUAAUCCAAAUGCCAUUUAAAAACAGUAAAAUCUUAGAUAAUAGCUUAAAAAUCAGCUUAAAAAGAUUGAAAAAUCGGUUAAGUUGAAGGCGGUUAUGAAAGACCUUCGGUUGAUGGCGCAGGAAAGAUUGCGUCAUUUGAAGCAAUUUAUGUUCCAAGGCAUUUGAGGUGGAAACGGAAGUUUAAUUGGAAUUAGUAGCUUAGUAUUGGAGAAAGAAGAUUAGGAAUUGAAGUGGAAAACGAAGACAGAAGUACAGGGAAGAGAAGAAAAGCUGUAGAGAAGAUAGGAAAAUAGAAGACGAAGCAUCUUUAGAAGACAGGUAUUUAACCGUAAUGGUAGGAAGCAGAAGAGAAACGUAGGAAAGUGACAAACUAAGAAAACUAGAAGAAGCAAGAUAGAACAGCAAGUUCAGACAACUUUGGAUUCAAGCAUUCAAGAUAGGCAAAGAAGAUAAGAUUGACCAAAAGGUUGGCUAAAAUGUAAAUUCUCAAGAAUAAGGAAGUUAUUUUUAUAUUCAUAAAUUCAAAUUUCUGACGGAGCAGUUUGGUGUAGACGGCCACUGUACCAGAGUGAAGCUAGAAGUCAAACCUAGGACUGAAGGAAUUGGAAAGUUAAGGCAGAAUGUGUUUGAAGAGUUAGAAGAAUUUUAAAAGCCUUAACUUUAGCGUAAAUUUGUUUGAAAAACAAAGGACUUUUGCUAACAAUUUCAAGAUUAUCAGCAUUUUUGCGUUGGACUUUGAGCUUGAGGUGCUUGUAAAAAUCCUAAGGACUUAGUAUUGGCAGCAGACCCAGGUCUACACAGAAGUGGAUUCAGUGAACCUAGGAAGACAGGAGUCCCGAGGCCAGUUUGGUGAAGAUAGUCCAGGAAGCAGUGCGGUUCGGUGGAGGAAGCUAGGAAGAAGAGCCCUAACGCUGUGGUGAAGCUAGGGGAGGAUUCCAGGAAGGUGGAGCCAGUGGAGUUGGUGAUGAGAAGCUAGCUGGCGGCUUGGCGACUGCGCAGAGGAGGCGAGCAGGCAUUGUGGAGAGGAUAGAUAGCGGCUCCUAGACCAGCAUGCCAGUGUGCAAGAAAGGCUGCAGGGAGAGCAUGUGGUGCGGUAACAUUCCGUGAGGCCGGCAACGCGGUGUUUUUCUGUAACUUGAGGAUGGUAACUUGUUUAUUUUGCCUUAAUGGUAAUGGGGGAGUUGUAAGCUUGUGUGUAAAGGGAUUUCUUUGGGGCUGUAGGCCGGUUCCGGGUGUCGUAGGUUUUUCUUUUUCAGGCUUAUGUCUUCUCUCAUCUUGUCUGAAGCUUUUGAGGGCAGACUGCCAAGGCCCGGAAGAAUGGUAGAUGGCAAGUUGUCUUAACCAAUUGGAGGGAAAAAUGAAUGGUAGAGCCAACACAAUCCCACCAGUUUGUGAGAAGUUUUAGUUUUUGUGAACAGAUGACCUACUGCAGUCUCCUGCAAGUCUCCUAUGUAGUUGGGAGGUAACUGGGCAAAGUGUUUCUGUGGGGAUGGGGGCAAAAUAUGUUUUGAGUUCUUUUCCCCUUAGGUCUUUCUAGAAUCCUAAAGGCAGAUGACUCAAGGGAACCAGAAAAGAAAAUCCAGUAUCAGGAUAAUCUGAACUCAACAGGUUUACAGUUUCUAGGAAUUAGAGGAUGGAUAAUAGCUUUCACUUUGAGUCUGGAGGAGCUGUCCAUUGGAGAAAUAUGGCUGGUAGUUAAUUCUUUCUCCCCUCCCUUAAUGAGACUGGUAAAAUUCCUCAUCUUUUAAACUGCAUUUUUACUUGAAAUAUUUGGGGAUGGUCUUAACAGGGAGGAUCGGGUGGGGGAGAUGUUUUUUCUAAGAUUCUCCACAGAUGCUAGUUCUGUUGGCACGCUGGGUAGAGAGGCGUGUGCUGCCCUGCGGUUGGCAUGACCUUCAGGGACUGGAGCUGCCCUUUAUCCUUGGAAGAGGUUUCCCACUUGCGGCUGAAGUACAGCACAGUGCAGCUUUGGUUCAGUCACCUCAGGAGACCCUCAGGAGCUUGACUAGGCCAGAUGUUGAAGUUAAGUUUUCAAGCACCAUGACUUAAAAUGUUUCAAUUAAAGGGGAGGGGAAAACCUAGUUGGCUGUGGCCUGUUGUGUUUGGGUGGUGGUGGGGGGUUAGGUAAUUGUUUAGUUUAUGAUUUCAGAUAAUCAUACCAGAGAACUUAAAUACUUAGGAUGGAAAAACUGAGGAAAUCUCAGCUUUCAAGUUGGCAAGUAACUCCCAAUCUUCCAGUUUUUGUUGCUCUGGGAAUGCCUACCAGUAAUUUGGGCAAGGAGAGUAAACCAAAACAGUUGUCUGUUUUCUUAAAUGUGUGUAGAGCUUGGGGGUUGGUCUGGUCCACUGGAGUGAUGAAAACUAGAGUGUUGGGGUUCUUUUUUUUUUUAAGUUACUGGAUAUAGAUUGUAGUGUGUGGUUCUCUUGAAAUUUUUUUCAGGUGACUUAAUGUGUCUUAAUAACUACUAUAGGAGCUUCAGAGCAGAGGAAGUGGCUUAAUGACCCUGCAGGGAAUUCUCCUGGUGAUAGCUUUUAUAUUAUCAAGUAAGAGAUUCCAUAUCAGUGUGUAUAAGCAAGUCUUUUUCCUAGUGUAGGAGAAAUGCUUUUCCUUUGUGACAAGAUGUGAAGGUAUGCCUCUUUUUGUAUGUGUGCAUUGUAUACUUUGUAUUUAUUUGUACUUUAUAAUUUAAGAAUGUGGUAGUUCAGCCUGAAUGUCUUAGAGGGUGGGCUUCUGUUGAUGGGGAGGGAAACCUUUUUUUUCUGUAGACUUUUUUCAGAUAACAUCAUUGAAUCAUAACCAGCCUGGCAGUAUGAUGACCUAGCUGCAGAGGGAACAGCUCGUUGGUGAAUGAUAAGUAAAGGCAGAAAAGAUAAUGUCAUGUCUCCAUUGGGGAAUGAGCAUGAGCCCGAGAUUCUUACUACUGAUGAAAACCAUGUCUCCAUAUGCAAAAAAUUAAGCAAAUGAAAGCAACCAGUAUAAAGUUACGGAAUCUACCAUGUUUAAAAAAAAAAUAAUGGCUUAUCAAGUAAAGAAUUGAUGAAAAACAAUGAAGAUCAAAUGUCCAUCUCAAAACACUGCUUUUACAAAAGCAGAAUAAAAAAAUGAAAUGAAAUGAAAAUGCUACAUUAAUCCUGGAGUAAAAAGAAGCUGAAAUUAAUUGAUAUGAGUGGGAUCAAGUGGAUUGAGAGGAGGCUGUGCAGUGUGCCAAUCUUUCCUUUGCCUCAGACAGGUUUCUCUUCAUAAUCAGAAGAGUUGCUUCAUUUCAUCUCGGAGCAGGAAACAGCAGACUGCUGUUAAAACAGAUAAGUUUAACUUGAAUCUGCAGUAUUGCAUGUUAGGGAUAAGUGCUUAUUUUUGUAAGAGCUGUGGAGGUAUUAAAUAUUUGUCCUUGCCUGACCCCUUCCUUUGGGGAUUUCAGGAUAGUGAGCAGUUUUCCCAUCCAGCCUUUUAGAAGUUCUAGGCCUUGUGCCAAUGGGCUUUCAUGAUGGGACAGUCAGUAAAAGGCUUUUGCAUCCUAAAUAACUUCAUCACAAAAGCCUUGUAUACAUGAUUAGUGACUGCUUAAAUCACAUUGCUUACAAAACUAAGGAAUCUUUUUCACUUGAUUCUCUGAAGAGCCUGUGAAAGGGAUGUAGCAUUAUGUGCUGAAAGUCAGAUAUGUUCAUCUUGCUAAAAUUUAAAUGUGCUAAAUGUACUUGUGCUUAAACCAUUAAAUUAUACAAAUUAAUAAAAUACUUGGCUAGAGAAUGUAUGUAUUUAGAAAGCUGUCUCCUUAUUUAAAUAAAGUAUUGUUUGUCUGUAGUUAGUGUUGGGCAAUCUUGGGGGGGUGUUCUUUUCUAAUCUUUCAGAAAUUUUGUCUUCGAACACUUAAACGGACAAGAUCAGGACUUGCAGAAGACCGAAUUUAACUUUAAGGCAGGAAAGACAAAUUUUAUUCUCCAUACAGUGAUGAAUGAGCAUUUAAUAAUUCCAGGCGUGGCAUAGAGGCCCUCUAAAUAAGGAAUAAGUACCUUAGACAGGUGGGAGGUAAUGGUCAGAGUAAAAGGUAACUACAUAUUUUGUUUCCAGAAAGUCAGGGGUCUAAUUUGACAAUGGCUAAACAUCUAGGGUAAGAUAACUUUUCCACAUUUCCAAAUUUGCAUGUUAAGUUUAAAUGCUUACGACCAUCUCAUUCACUGUUAGCCUUUUCUCACCUCACUUGAGCCAGGAGUUGGGGUGGGCAUGUGGGUUUUUAAAAUUUUUCCUUUGCAGAGGCUUCAUUUCAUCCUUCAUGAAGCUGCUCAGGAUUUUGACUUGCAUAUGAGUGCUUGGCUCUGUCUUCUGUUCUGCUAGUGAGUGUGUGGGACCUUGCAGUGAGUUUUUCAUGGAAUCCGGAGGGAAGGGAGAGGGGGGGCUUACUUGUUCUAGCUUUUUUUUACAGACUACACAGAGAAUGCAGUUGUCUUGACUUCAGGUCUUGUCUGUUCUUUGGCAAGUAAUAUGCAGUACUGUUCGAAUCUGCUGCUAUUAGAAUGCAUUGUGACCGACUGGAUAUGGUUAAAAGUUGUGUUUUCCCAAAUGUUUGGAGUAGUGAUUGUGGAGGAAAACCAUGAGUGAUACAUACAGGCUGAGUGUUGAGGAAAUGGCUCUGCAGCUUAAAGUAACACGUGUUUGUGAUUGAAGCCAAGUUCCUUUUGCGUGCUGCUUUAGGUAAAUGUUUUUGUUCAUUUUUGGUGAGGGGGGAUGGGGGCACUGAAGCCUUUAGUCUUUUCCAGAUUCAACCUAAAAUCUUGACAAGAAAUAAAUUCAGACAAGCAACAUUCUUGAAGAAAUUUUAACUGGCAAGUGGAAAUGUUUUAACAGUUCAGUGGUCUUUAGUGCAUUGUCUGUGUGGGUGUCUCUCUCCCCUCCCUUGGUCUUAAUUCUUACAUGCAGGAACAUUGAGAACAGCAGACAAGUUUGCGAGGGGCCAGAGAAGCCAGACCCAGUAAGGAAAACAAUAGCCCCUUUACUUUAAAUCAAUAAGUGAACCAAGCGUUGCUUUCACUGUGGGGAUUGGGAAGCACUAGUUCUUUCAGAUGUGCUCUUCAGACUGUAGAGGAGCUUCCCAUUGAACUCACCAGUGGACAAGAUGAGGACACCAGGUGAACAACAAGCCUUUUCUUGUUUAAGAUUAGUGACUGGUAAACAAACUAGAGUUGGGUCCUCUUCAGCUUCAUGCUGGAGCGGUUAGCAUGUGAUGAACAAGUGGUGUGUUGUUGGCCUUGGGGUGGAGGGGUGAGGUGGGCGCUAAGCCUUUUCUUAAGAUUUUUCAGGUACCCCUCACUAAAGGCACCAAAGGCUUAAUGUAGGACAGCGGAGCGAACCUUCCUGUGGCAAGAGACAACCAAGCACUAUUAUACCAAGGUCAAAGUGGUGUCACGGUCUGGUUUUGGUUAGCAAUGAGAACUGCCUCAACACCCUGCUUGGCGUGAAGAAUACUGGAGUGUCCCUGGGCUUGUUUUAAUGUCCAAAAAAAGCUGUUUUUAUAGCAGCUGUUAACCAGCCCAUACCUCAUUGUGCUUGAAGGGGAGGGAAAGGGGGAAAGUGGGCAACCAGUUUUCCCUAGCUUUUCCAGAAGCCUGUUACAAGGUCUCCCCACAAGUGACUUCUCUGCCACAUCGCCACCCUGUGCCUUUGGCUUAAUCACAGACCCUUCACCCCUCACCUUGAUGCAGCCAGUAGCUGGAUCCUUGAGGGCAUGAUGCGUAAUCGGUUUCAAGGUAACCACGGUGCCAAGGUCCGGUGGGUUGCUCUAGAAAAGGCCAUUUUUGUCCUGCCUGUAAAUUAACAGAACAUUAAAACCACAGCUAAGUAGCUAAGAUGUUUUUAAGUAUGUAGCACCUAUUCAGUGACUAAACAAACUUAAACCAGUCAGGGGAACAGUAAUGUUUGAUAUUUGACUGCUGGGUGGGAGUCAGCUGAGCAAGGCAAGCCUCGGUUAGGAAGCUGCUGGGGUGGGAUUGCCAAAAUUCUCUGCUAAGACUUUUUCAGGUGGACAUUACAGACUUGACCAAGCUAGCUUCUUAGCGGAAGGAGAUUCUUCAGUAGGGCUCUAAAGGUUUUUCUUUUCCUGAGAAAACAAACUCUUGUUUUCUCAGGUUUUGCUUUUUGGCCUUUCCCUAGCUUAAAAAAAAAAAGCAAAAGAUGCCGGUGGUUGGCACUCCUGGUUUCCAGGAUGGGGUUCAAAUCCCUGCGGUGUCUUUGCUUGAUUCUCAAUAUUAAAAGGCCUUAGCAUUUCCUUGGGGGGAGGUGAAGGCUCAGGAGAUGGGAGCAGACAUUGUGGAUCUCUGCCCAGCCCCAGUG